GAUGAACGCUAGCGGGAGGCUUAACACAUGCAAGUCGAGGGGCAGCACGAGGUAGCAAUACUUUGGUGGCGACCGGCAGACGGGUGAGUAACGCGUAUGUAACCUACCCUGUACAGGGGGAUAACCCGGAGAAAUUCGGAUUAAUACCCCAUAAAGAUAUUGAGAGGCAUCUUUUAAUAUUUAAAGUUUCGGCGGUACGGGAUGGGCAUGCGUAAGAUUAGCUGGUUGGUAGGGUAACGGCCUACCAAGGCAACGAUCUUUAGGGGUCCUGAGAGGGUGAUCCCCCACACUGGUACUGAGACACGGACCAGACUCCUACGGGUGGCAG
This 328-nucleotide ribosomal RNA is filed under the name uncultured Bacteroidota bacterium. RNAcentral's name for it is "bacterial SSU rRNA". It matches the Rfam family "Bacterial small subunit ribosomal RNA", at positions 28 to 351 of the family's 1533-position model. Lineage: Bacteria; Pseudomonadati; Bacteroidota. The record is from RNAcentral.